GACGAACGCUGGCGGCGCGCCUAACACAUGCAAGUCGAACGGAGCAGAGAGAAGUUUGCUCUUCUUAGCUUAGUGGCGAACGGGUGAGUAACGCGUGAGUAACCUGCCCUGGAGUGGGGGACAAAAGUUGGAAACGACUGCUAAUACCGCAUAAGCACACGAUCCAGCAUAUGUUUGAGAGAAAUGGAUUUAUUCGCUUCAGGAUGGACUCGCGUUGUAUUAGCUAGUUGGUGAGGUAACGGCCCACCAAGGCAACGAUUCAGAGCCGGACGGAGAGGGUGAGCGGCCACACUGGGACUGAGACACGGCCCAGACUCCUACGGGAGGCAGCAGUAGGGAAUCUUCGGCAAUGGACGGAAGUCUGACCGAGCAACGCCGCGUGAGUGAAGAAGGUUUUCGGAUCGUAAAGCGCUGUUGUAAGAGAAGAACGAGUGUGAGAGUGGAAAGUUCACACUGUGACGGUAUCUUACCAGAAAGGGACGGCUAACUACGUG
RNAcentral lists this ribosomal RNA (494 nucleotides) under uncultured bacterium. RNAcentral describes it as "partial 16S ribosomal RNA". It matches the Rfam family "Bacterial small subunit ribosomal RNA", at positions 28 to 507 of the family's 1533-position model. The record is from RNAcentral.